RNAcentral lists this ribosomal RNA (497 nucleotides) under uncultured bacterium. RNAcentral describes it as "partial 16S ribosomal RNA". It matches the Rfam family "Bacterial small subunit ribosomal RNA", at positions 28 to 507 of the family's 1533-position model. The record is from RNAcentral.
GAUGAACGCUGGCGGCGUGCCUAAUACAUGCAAGUCGAGCGAACGGAUGAGAAGCUUGCUUCUCUGAUGUUAGCGGCGGACGGGUGAGUAACACGUGGAUAACCUACCUAUAAGACUGGGAUAACUUCGGGAAACCGGAGCUAAUACCGGAUAAUAUUUUGAACCGCAUGGUUCAAAAGUGAAAGACGGUCUUGCUGUCACUUAUAGAUGGAUCCGCGCUGCAUUAGCUAGUUGGUAAGGUAACGGCUUACCAAGGCAACGAUGCAUAGCCGACCUGAGAGGGCGAUCGGCCACACUGGAACUGAGACACGGUCCAGACUCCUACGGGAGGCAGCAGUAGGGAAUCUUCCGCAAUGGGCGAAAGCCUGACGGAGCAACGCCGCGUGAGUGAUGAAGGUCUUCGGAUCGUAAAACUCUGUUAUUAGGGAAGAACAUAUGUGUAAGUAACUGUGCACAUCUUGACGGUACCUAAUCAGAAAGCCACGGCUAACUACGUG